AGGUGUCUUGGCUAAGGUGUCUUGGCUAAUGUGUCUUGGCUAAGGUGUCUUGGCUAAGGUGUCUCGGCUAAGGUGUCUUGGCUAAUGUGUCUUGGCUAAUGUGUCUUGGCUAAGGUGUCUUGGCUAAGGUGUCUUGGCUAAGGUGUCUUGGCUAAUGUGUCUUGGCUAAUGUGUCUCGGCUAAUGUGUCUUGGCUAAUGUGUCUUGGCUAAUGUGUCUUGGCUAAAGUGUCUUGGCUAAUGUGUCUUGGUUAAAGUGUCUUGGCUAAUGUGUCUUGGCUAAUGUGUCUUGGCUAAUGUGUCUUGGCUAAGGUGUCUUGGCUAAUGUGUCUUGGCUAAGGUGUCUUGGCUAAUGUGUCUUGGCUAAUGUGUCU
Molecule: long non-coding RNA, 372 nt
Organism: Anopheles funestus (African malaria mosquito)
Lineage: Eukaryota; Metazoa; Arthropoda; Insecta; Diptera; Culicidae
Exons: 3
Source: RefSeq, a predicted model, not a curated record